Molecule: ribosomal RNA, 197 nt
Filed under: Panagrolaimus sp. BW287
Lineage: Eukaryota; Metazoa; Nematoda; Chromadorea; Rhabditida; Panagrolaimidae
Description: partial 18S ribosomal RNA
Rfam family: Eukaryotic small subunit ribosomal RNA
Source: RNAcentral
GCCCUUUUGAUUACGUCCCUGCCCUUUGUACACACCGCCCGUCGCUAUCCGGGACUGAACUGAUUCGAGAAGAGUGGGGACUGUCGCUUCGAGGUUUAACGACUUCGUUGUUGCGGAAACCAUUUUUAUCGCAUUGGUUUGAACCGGGUAAAAGUCGUAACAAGGUAGCUGUAGGUGAACCUGCAGCUGGAUCAUCG